ACGGGAGGCAGCAGUGGGGGAUAUUGCACAAUGGGGGAAACCCUGAUGCAGCGACGCCGCGUGAGUGAUGAAGUAUUUCGGUAUGUAAAGCUCUAUCAGCAGGGAAGAAAAUGACGGUACCUGACUAAGAAGCACCGGCUAAAUACGUGCCAGCAGCCGCGGUAAUACGUAGGGGGCAAGCGUUAUCCGGAUUUACUGGGUGUAAAGGGAGCGUAGACGGAAGGCCAAGUCUGAUGUGAAAACCCAGGGCUCAACCCUGGGACUGCAUUGGAAACUGGUCAUCUAGAGUGCAGGAGGGGUAAGCGGAAUUCCUAGUGUAGCGGUGAAAUGCGUAGAUAUUAGGAGGAACACCAGUGGCGAAGGCGGCUUACUGGACGAUAACUGACGUUGAGGCUCGAAAGCGUGGGGAGCAAACAGGAUUAGAUACCCUGGUA
This 434-nucleotide ribosomal RNA is filed under the name uncultured Lachnospiraceae bacterium. Its description in RNAcentral is "partial 16S ribosomal RNA". It matches the Rfam family "Bacterial small subunit ribosomal RNA", at positions 341 to 792 of the family's 1533-position model. The record is from RNAcentral. Lineage: Bacteria; Bacillati; Bacillota; Clostridia; Lachnospirales; Lachnospiraceae.